This is a non-coding RNA of Schistosoma haematobium, 45 nucleotides long. The record is from Rfam. Lineage: Eukaryota; Metazoa; Platyhelminthes; Trematoda; Strigeidida; Schistosomatidae.
AUCCAGAUGACGAGUCCCAAAUAGAAUUAAAUGUGCUUCCUGGAU